AAAAAAUAAAAGGUACCUUCUGUGGCUGCUUUGAUUAAAACUGAAGCUCUUCUCUUCUGUCAGACGCACAUGAAACUCGCAAAUUAAAAAUCUGAUGGAGAAACGGUGGUGCAGAAGGCUUUAUUGGUGUCUGACCAACUUCACUUUUAAUCGAUACAGCCGUCUCAACCGGCCGCUUUAACCCUUUGAUGCACGACACGGGUCAAAAGAUACCCAUAUCCAAUGGAAUAUCCAAUGGAAUAUUCAAUGGAAUAUUCAAUGCAUGUGGGUAUCUAUUGACCCACGUUGUGAAGAACUAAAAAUUCUAGGUUCUUUGGUGCAACUGUGAAGCUUUUCGUGACUCAACUGUGACCAACUGUCGCAUGGCAAGAAUUCAGGAACUUUUCAACUGAACUGCAGGCAGUUUAAGCAGAGCAGACAAGACAAGUCUGGAAGCAAGUUAAAAUAUGCGUUUUUCUUGUAGAAUUUAUGGCAUUGUAAGUGUAUCGUAGGGUUGUCAAAUUUGUUAAACCUCUGUACCACCAAAAGCAGGUUUGAAAGACAUGUAAUCUUUUAAACAAUUGCCAAAAAUUACAACAUUUAUCAGGAACAGAAACAGUAAUAAAUAGAAAGAAGUGUCUAAUUUUCAGCUUUUCGGCAAGAGUCCAACUAUUCAUCUGUUUGUUGGGGAAAUCUACCAAAUUUAAGCCUAAAAUUGUGAUAUUUUGUAAAAAAUCACCUUGUUCUACAUGUCUUGUUUUUAAAAAAUGUCAAAAAGAAGCAAUAUGCAUUAACUGGAUUGUGCAAAAAAUGAAAAAUUCUAGGUUCUUGGGUCAACACUGAGCAGAAACAGAAUCUAGGAAAAACAGAAAGAAUCAAGAUUUUUGAUUUUCUGACAAGAGUGUAACCAAUCUAAAAUCACUUUAAUGGAAUAUGGGUUUCUAUUGACCCAUGUUGAGCAUCAAAGGGUUAAAUGAGACCUUAACUUUUACAGAACAGCAGCUACUGCGGCCAAUAGUAAGUAGCUGUAAAAAAUGACUGUAAUGUCAGUUACAGUUUUAUAUCUGUGUUGUUUAGCCAAGAUUUGCCACCAUAAGCCGCCAAACUGUUUUACUUAUGCACGCAGUUUGCAUUUAACUGUAUUUUCUCCAGUUUCAGAAGUUACACAGUACAGUUUAGAGGCUGUAACCUCAAACCAAAGUGUGUUUUUGGGCUUGAAAUCCAUUUUGAAUCAUCUUUGGCAUGUAACUUUGGUCAUUUCUGUCUGAUUCCAGAGCUUUACUGUGGCUGAAUGCAUUGAUGAGGGACUGAAGCUACAGCGGAUAGCGUUAAAUUAAACAUCUGAAUGUAAGAAUUGUGCAAAAAAUCUAAAACCAGAAGUGGGUGGCAUGACUGUAUCUCUACUAUAAAAGCCAUUUCAGCCCAUUUUCCUUUCCAUCCUUAUUGUUUAUUCAUGUCUGAUUUAUCAGUGUAACUGUAGCUUGGCCCUGAUGUGGAUCGAUCGUUGGAUUCAUCACAUUUCCAGAAGUUCACUUGAAGAAACGACCUUGUAGUAAAUACUGAAUAUUGUAUAAGUGAGUAAACUGAAGUAAAAUCUGUAUAUUUUAGGACUAAGUUUUGUUUCAGAAGUAACCAUGAGAGUAUAUUUUCAUUAUGCAGCCUUGUACGGAGCGUGUUUUUACAGAGAGAGUGUCUCCAGGUAGCUCAGCUGUGGAGGACUGAAGGAAGCUGGACUCGUUGCACACUAAUGAAUAUUUGCAGUCGUCUUUACAGUUGUCUGAUGAAAACAUGACAUUUUUUAUUGUCACUUUCAGAGAUCUUAAAUCUAAAGUCAUUAUUUUUCCACCUCUUUCAACAUUACUUCUCCUACUGUACUUGAUCAAGCCUGAGCACCUUGUGUUUGCAGCAAAGAAGUUUUAUUUGUGCAGUGAUCGUACCAGGUGUGCACCUCACUUUGCUUUUCUUCACUAAGAAGCCAUCAUGCUUAUUUUGUUGAUGUUUCUUUUAUGAGAUGAUGCAAAAGAGACGCUGCCGCCUUCCUCCGGAGCGCUCUCGAUUAUUUACAAUGUUAUGUUUGCGUUGUUUAUAAAGUUUUUAUAUAUUUAUCUGUUUGUGUUAGCUUCUAGGAAGCUCUAGUUCUAUAGUUGUCUUCAGUUUGUUGGUAGUGACGAAGCAACAUGUCAUUUUUAUUAUUUAUGGUAAAAUUAAAACUGUUGAAAGCA
Long non-coding RNA from Amphiprion ocellaris (clown anemonefish), 2201 nucleotides. Lineage: Eukaryota; Metazoa; Chordata; Actinopteri; Pomacentridae. The record is from Ensembl.